CAUACACUGAAGGACAAGUUUCAUCAUGAAACUGCUUGCCUAAUUGUUCUCUUGGUCACGUGUGUUUUGUUUGCCAGUUUGCCGCAGGCUGAAGCCCAGUACGAUAACUAUCUACCUGCUGGUAAUAAUUGUGCGUGCAGAAAUCAGUGCUACCCAGGAGAGUGGCAAUCGGGUAGAUGUUCUUGGAAUAGAAUCAGAUGUUGCAGAAGGGGUAACACCAACUAUUAGAAGUUAGCCGACCAUAAGGAACCCAUGAAGUUGGAUUAUUGAGUCAUCGAAUUAUACAAUAAAGUUCAAGUUAU
Molecule: long non-coding RNA, 302 nt
Organism: Dreissena polymorpha
Lineage: Eukaryota; Metazoa; Mollusca; Bivalvia; Myida; Dreissenidae
Exons: 3
Source: RefSeq, a predicted model, not a curated record